GUGUCAGCAGCCGCGGUAACACGUAGGGGACGAGCGUUGUCCGGAUUUAUUGGGCGUAAAGCGCGCGUAGGCGGCCAUGCAAGUCGGGUGUGAAAUCCCGGGGCUCAACUCCGGGACUGCAUCCGAUACUGCACGGCUCGAGGUAGGUAGGGGAGAUCGGAAUUCCUGGUGUAGCGGUGAAAUGCGCAGAUAUCAGGAGGAACACCGGUGGCGAAGGCGGAUCUCUGGGCCUUACCUGACGCUGAUGCGCGAAAGCUAGGGGAGCGAACAGGAUUAGAUACCCUGGUAGUCC
Molecule: ribosomal RNA, 292 nt
Filed under: uncultured bacterium
Lineage: Bacteria
Description: partial 16S ribosomal RNA
Rfam family: Bacterial small subunit ribosomal RNA
Source: RNAcentral